RNAcentral lists this ribosomal RNA (301 nucleotides) under uncultured bacterium. Its description in RNAcentral is "partial 16S ribosomal RNA". It matches the Rfam family "Bacterial small subunit ribosomal RNA", at positions 509 to 809 of the family's 1533-position model. The record is from RNAcentral.
CAGUCGCCGCGGUAAUACGUAGGUGGCAAGCGUUGUCCGGAAUUAUUGGGCGUAAAGGGCUCGCAGGCGGUUUCUUAAGUCUGAUGUGAAAGCCCCCGGCUCAACCGGGGAGGGUCAUUGGAAACUGGGAAACUUGAGUGCAGAAGAGGAGAGUGGAAUUCCACGUGUAGCGGUGAAAUGCGUAGAGAUGUGGAGGAACACCAGUGGCGAAGGCGACUCUCUGGUCUGUAACUGACGCUGAGGAGCGAUAGCGUGGGGAGCGAACAGGAUUAGAUACCCGAGUAGUCCCUGUCUCUUAUAU